AUUGAACGCUGGCGGCAGGCUUAACACAUGCAAGUCGAGCGGGGUGAUGGUGCUUGCACUAUCACUUAGCGGCGGACGGGUGAGUAAUGCUUAGGAAUCUGCCUAUUAGUGGGGGACAACAUCUCGAAAGGGAUGCUAAUACCGCAUACGUCCUACGGGAGAAAGCAGGGGAUCACUGGUGACCUUGCGCUAAUAGAUGAGCCUAAGUCGGAUUAGCUAGUUGGUGGGGUAAAGGCCUACCAAGGCGACGAUCUGUAGCGGGUCUGAGAGGAUGAUCCGCCACACUGGGACUGAGACAAGGCCCAGACUCCUACGGGAGGCAGCAGUGGGGAAUAUUGGACAAUGGGGGGAACCCUGAUCCAGCCAUGCCGCGUGUGUGAAGAAGGCCUUAUGGUUGUAAAGCACUUUAAGCGAGGAGGAGGCUCUUUUGGUUAAUACCCAAGAUGAGUGGACGUUACUCGCAGAAUAAGCACCGGCUAACUCUGUGCCAGCCGCCGCCGUAA
RNAcentral lists this ribosomal RNA (503 nucleotides) under uncultured bacterium. RNAcentral describes it as "partial 16S ribosomal RNA". It matches the Rfam family "Bacterial small subunit ribosomal RNA", at positions 30 to 523 of the family's 1533-position model. The record is from RNAcentral.